CAAGCCUGAUGCAGCCAUGCCGCGUGUAUGAAGAAGGCCUUCGGGUUGUAAAGUACUUUCAGUUGUGAGGAAGGGGGUAUUGUUAAUAGCGCUAUCUCUUGACGUUAGCAACAGAAGAAGCACCGGCUAACUCCGUGCCAG
Molecule: ribosomal RNA, 141 nt
Filed under: uncultured Vibrio sp.
Lineage: Bacteria; Pseudomonadati; Pseudomonadota; Gammaproteobacteria; Vibrionales; Vibrionaceae
Description: partial 16S ribosomal RNA
Rfam family: Bacterial small subunit ribosomal RNA
Source: RNAcentral